AAAUUGAAGAGUUUGAUCAUGGCUCAGAUUGAACGCUGGCGGCAGGCCUAACACAUGCAAGUCGAACGGUAACAGGAAGCAGCUUGCUGCUUCGCUGACGAGUGGCGGACGGGUGAGUAAUGUCUGGGAAACUGCCUGAUGGAGGGGGAUAACUACUGGAAACGGUGGCUAAUACCGCAUAACGUCGCAAGACCAAAGAGGGGGACCUUCGGGCCUCUUGCCAUCAGAUGUGCCCAGAUGGGAUUAGCUUGUUGGUGAGGUAACGGCUCACCAAGGCGACGAUCCCUAGCUGGUCUGAGAGGAUGACCAGCCACACUGGAACUGAGACACGGUCCAGACUCCUACGGGAGGCAGCAGUGGGGAAUAUUGCACAAUGGGCGCAAGCCUGAUGCAGCCAUGCCGCGUGUAUGAAGAAGGCCUUCGGGUUGUAAAGUACUUUCAGCGGGGAGGAAGGUGUUGCGGUUAAUAACCGCAGCAAUUGACGUUACCCGCAGAAGAAGCACCGGCUAACUCCGUGCCAGCAGCCGCGGUAAUACGGAGGGUGCAAGCGUUAAUCGGAAUUACUGGGCGUAAAGCGCACGCAGGCGGUCUGUCAAGUCGGAUGUGAAAUCCCCGGGCUCAACCUGGGAACUGCAUUCGAAACUGGCAGGCUUGAGUCUUGUAGAGGGGGGUAGAAUUCCAGGUGUAGCGGUGAAAUGCGUAGAGAUCUGGAGGAAUACCGGUGGCGAAGGCGGCCCCCUGGACAAAGACUGACGCUCAGGUGCGAAAGCGUGGGGAGCAAACAGGAUUAGAUACCCUGGUAGUCCACGCCGUAAACGAUGUCUACUUGGAGGUUGUGCCCUUGAGGCGUGGCUUCCGGAGCUAACGCGUUAAGUAGACCGCCUGGGGAGUACGGCCGCAAGGUUAAAACUCAAAUGAAUUGACGGGGGCCCGCACAAGCGGUGGAGCAUGUGGUUUAAUUCGAUGCAACGCGAAGAACCUUACCUGGUCUUGACAUCCACGGAACUUUCCAGAGAUGGAUUGGUGCCUUCGGGAACCGUGAGACAGGUGCUGCAUGGCUGUCGUCAGCUCGUGUUGUGAAAUGUUGGGUUAAGUCCCGCAACGAGCGCAACCCUUAUCCUUUGUUGCCAGCGAUUCGGUCGGGAACUCAAAGGAGACUGCCAGUGAUAAACUGGAGGAAGGUGGGGAUGACGUCAAGUCAUCAUGGCCCUUACGACCAGGGCUACACACGUGCUACAAUGGCGCAUACAAAGAGAAGCGACCUCGCGAGAGCAAGCGGACCUCAUAAAGUGCGUCGUAGUCCGGAUUGGAGUCUGCAACUCGACUCCAUGAAGUCGGAAUCGCUAGUAAUCGUGGAUCAGAAUGCCACGGUGAAUACGUUCCCGGGCCUUGUACACACCGCCCGUCACACCAUGGGAGUGGGUUGCAAAAGAAGUAGGUAGCUUAACCUUCGGGAGGGCGCUUACCACUUUGUGAUUCAUGACUGGGGUGAAGUCGUAACAAGGUAACCGUAGGGGAACCUGCGGUUGGAUCACCUCCUUA
Molecule: ribosomal RNA, 1542 nt
Filed under: Salmonella enterica subsp. enterica serovar Oranienburg
Lineage: Bacteria; Pseudomonadati; Pseudomonadota; Gammaproteobacteria; Enterobacterales; Enterobacteriaceae
Also listed under: 3 other names
Description: bacterial SSU rRNA
Rfam family: Bacterial small subunit ribosomal RNA
Source: RNAcentral